GUGAGGAAUAUUGGUCAAUGGGCGAGAGCCUGAACCAGCCAAGUAGCGUGCAGGAAGACUGCCCUAUGGGUUGUAAACUGCUUUUAUGCGGGGAUAAAGUGGCGUACGUGUACGCUAUUGCAGGUACCGCAUGAAUAAGGACCGGCUAAUUCCGUGCCAGCAGCCGCGGUAAUACGGAAGGUCCAGGCGUUAUCCGGAUUUAUUGGGUUUAAAGGGAGCGCAGGCGGGCCUUUAAGCGUGUUGUGAAAUGUACCGGCUCAACCGGUGAGUUGCAGCGCGAACUGGAGGUCUUGAGUGAGUUCGAUGUGGGCGGAAUUCGUGGUGUAGCGGUGAAAUGCUUAGAUAUCACGAAGAACUCCGAUUGCGAAGGCAGCCCACAAGGCCUUUACUGACGCUAAAGCUCGAAGGUGCGGGUAUCGAACAGGAUUAGAAACCCUUGUAGUCC
RNAcentral lists this ribosomal RNA (445 nucleotides) under uncultured Prevotellaceae bacterium. RNAcentral's name for it is "bacterial SSU rRNA". It matches the Rfam family "Bacterial small subunit ribosomal RNA", at positions 354 to 796 of the family's 1533-position model. The record is from RNAcentral. Lineage: Bacteria; Pseudomonadati; Bacteroidota; Bacteroidia; Bacteroidales; Prevotellaceae.